UAGUAGUUAGUAUCUGCAAAUCCCAAAUUCCUAAUCUAUCCCUCCACCACCACCCCCUUUCCUCCCUGGUAACCACACGUUUGUUUUCUAUGCUUGUCUUGAUGGCUUCUCACCUGCUUCUCUCCACUUCUCUGCCUCAUUUCUCUCCAUCUCCUCCUUCUAUCUUUCACUGCUUCAUCACGCACGUGGAAAAAUCUCCAUCAGCGCUCCCAAGUUUAGAGAUCCUCAUUCCAGACAGCCACAGUAUCCUUAAAACUCCACAUUCCAAGGAGGACACUUGGGUCAGGGGCUCAGCUGAAGGGCAGGGAAAUAGAGAAAAAGACGGCUGCCAGGCCCAAGGGCAACAGGGAAGCCGGGCAGGCAGCUGUUGUCAUGGCCCAAGUGACAGUUUAAAAAGUCAAGGCAGAAGUAAGUCACAUCCUUGUCACAGAUGUGGAAACUGAGGCACAGAAUGAGCCUGGCUUGGGGUCCGGAUCUCUGGCUUUUGUGUCCGUACAGGGUCCACCAGACAUGGUCUCUGAUUCCCAGGGGAAGCGUGGUUUCUCUACUCUGUCUCUCCACACAGCACUGGCUCACCAGGGGGUCUUGGGGCCUUCUUAGGAUACAUUCAGUUCCAGAGGCUCAGGAAAGAAGCAUCCAAAGUGAAGUUCUAAAACAGCUGAGGCUCAAGGAAUAAGCACACCGAGGUCCUGGGACCAGCUCUUUGCUAACUUGUGGUCUGGUGCCUUCGUGAAGUUAACACCUGGCGCUCCUGGAUUUAAGACAGAUCUGCAAAUCUUCCAUUCUUUCUACCGUGUGACAAACCCUCAUACACCUCACAACAACCCUAUGAGACAGGUGCUUUUGGACCCAUGUUCCAGGUGAGCCAGUAGGGGCCCAGAGGUAAGCAGCUAGUUCAAGGUCACACAGCUGGGGCGGGAUGUGAGCACAGCCUUGUCUGAUUCCCGAGAGCCCUUGGGGAUGCUCCUCCGCUCUCUGCUUCAUUUCCUUGUCUGUCAGAUGGGAACGAUAAUGCCCAUCUCACUUGGAUAUUGUAGGGGGGAGAACAGACAAAAGAAGAGAAAGUGCUCUGAAAACACAAGCAGCCCCUGCAGAUGGGAAUUAUUUUUGUUGCUGUCACACAUCGCCAGCCUCCCCCCAACCCCGACCGUGCUUUGUGAGCUGUACCCAGCCAUGAGCUCCUCCCUGUCAGCGGCAGGGCGGAGAGCCUGUCUUCACCCUGAGCCCCACUGCCUCACCCCCACCUCCCCAGGCUUGGAAGGAGUGUAGCUCAUGCUGUGUCCUCCCUUACUGCUGGGGGAACGGGGAACCUAGAACUUGGGUCUCAGCAUAUUGAGGAGAUAAGGACAUAGAUUUUUCCCCCCAAAAUUUAUUUUUAUUUGUGGAUUCAGGUUUGCAUGCAAGCUUCUGCCAGAGAUAGAAGAUAACCCAAUGAUGGGGAUUGUUUAAUAACUGAGGGAUGGGAAAGGAAACAUCCUUUGUUAAUGAGUACCUACUGUAUACCCGGCAGCUCUGUGACUAUUGAUCAUCCUUGCAAUGUAAUAUGGGCUUCAUUUGUCCCCAUUUUACUGACCGGGCACACGACCCAGCAAGGCUGUAUUUCACGUGCUAGUUCAACAGUGGUGGCAGGGCUGGGAUUGGAACCCAGGUCUCCAAAGCCUCUGUCUUUCUGCCACUGCCUCCCACUGUAGGGGAGGCCAUGGAAUAGGUGUCGGAGAUGUCCCUUUCCAGUCAAGCAGACUUGGAAGCUGCUGGAAGUUACUUAUGCAAAGUUCAGCAAGGAAGGAAGUGGAGUCAGAGCUGCUGGGCCCCCAGGCAGCUUGCCCGUGCUGGCCCGCACUGUCUGGCCAGCUGUCCUCACCCAGGCUUGGACCCGGCUGGCUAUGUCCUAUGGAGGCAUCCUGGACGUUGCGCAAUCCCGGAACUGUCUGUCAGGUUCCACCAAGGUUCAGCCCAACUCGUCAGCCAGGGCAGGUACCCGGGGCACGUUCCAAGGGAUAGAACAGGUAGGCAGGAGACUCAGGAUCCAUCUUCAUGGCCAAAGGCAGAGCUAAGAGGCUUUCUGAGCCGUGGCAAAGUGGGACGUGUCCAAAAGCUCUGUUUGACCGUCAAGCAAGGAGGAGAGGACAUGGGAGAGCUCACCUCAGCUCCUUGACCUAGGUGCGUUCGGCCAGCUCUUGAAGGGGUGACCCUGCCUUUCUCCAUUUGUUUAAAGAAGAGCCCGAUAUGGUUCCCCUAGAAAGGAUUUGAUAACAACAAAGUGCCACCAUACGUGUUUUGUCUUCUCAUUCUCUCAAUAGUCCCGGGAGUCCUGAGGCGAGUGGGGAAAGCAGGGCCCAGAAAAGUUAAGUUGCUUCUCCAGAGUCACACAGCUGGUAAACAGUGUCCAUCUCAGCUGUCUUGUCUCUCACAUGCAAUGGUCGGUGCUCAAUGCACACAAAAGCUAGCUGAACAGCUGUAUUGAGUCUGUAUGCAGGUCACAGUCUCCCUCAUUCUGUUUUUCAGGAAGAGCUCGUUAUUCUCGGUUAACCAAGAAAUAAUCAGAUCAGCCAACACUUCUGCAUGAUGGUUGAUUAAAUAUACAGAACAACUCGGACCCAAAUAGAUGCUCAGAAUGAAUAUGGAGUUCCUACUUCAGUAUACAGCUUUAAGGUGUAUAUACCUACACCUAUCAUAGUAUGACAUGUGUUCACACUCUUACCUCAGUCCCUGAUUCCACAUGACAGCAAACAUGAUUUCAGGCUUUGUUUACAGAGCCUCUAGUGAAUGCCAAACCCUGCCUCAGCGACUGGAGAAGUCGGUCAGUAUUACUUGGGAGGAUUCUUUGGUUGCAAAGAGCAGAAACCCAAGUUGCACUUGCUUUGGAGAAAGGAGGCUUCAUGGACUCAGAUAAGCAAAGCAUGAGAAGUGCAGUCCCAGGAAUGACCACAGCCAGGAGUUCAGAUGCCUCCCAGUUCUUUCUGUCUUCUCCUUUCAUGCCAGCUCUCUUCGCACAGAAUGGCUCCCUUCACUGGGCUGGAGACAGGCAGCCAUCAGGCUCACAGCUUAAGCUUAAACAUUGGCGACGACUGUCCCUCUUGUGUCAGAGACCACUUGUGUCUCGCACUCUGCCAGGAAGGCAGGGUAACGGCAGCUCCCAUUUCAGCCACCUGGUUAGAAUUAGAGGAAUGAACACAUCCCAAAACAGGGGGUUGGAGGAAGGAGGGUGACGCUCUAGGUGACAGGCAGUACCCACUCCCUGGUCUGAAGGACCUGUCAGUCUCCUGGGGGGCGUGGGCAGGGACAAGUAGGUCAGCAGCUGUUAGCACAGUCCCAUAAGCUUGACGACAUGCGAGCCUUGAAAACCAGAGGAGGGCCAUCCAUGUGGGUCUGGAUUGCAGUGAGGAGGGACCCAGGAAAGCGUUACAGGGUUGUUGAGGGACACUUGAGGACUGGGAAUCAUCCAGGUAUCAAGGGAGGAAGAGCAUCCCCGCCAGACACAACCACACCAGCAAGAAUCCAGAAGAGCGUGGAAAGGCAAGUAGCUCAGUACUGUCAGAGGCCCAGGGGCAAAAGGAGGGUGAUAGGUCCUGAUGUUAAGGAUAGAAGAAUAAAGGUCCCCAAAAUAUUUGUAGAUUUAGGAUCUCAAGAACCCUGAAAGGAUUUGUUUAGAAUAGGAUCAAAGAACGGCCUGAACAAAGUACACAGGCUGAGAGGUGUUGGAUAGCACGCAAUGUGGUGAGGAAUGUUGCCUUGAAACAUGAUGGUAUUCUAUAGGAUUUUCCUUUGGGAAGAGAGGGGAAAAUCUCACAUUGUCCGAGUAACUAAUGAGUUUCCCUGUCUGUAUAAAGUUUUGGUAAAUGUAGUUUAUGGGGGGUGAUGGUGAGACAAGCAAAACAGAUCACCGUGCAGUUUGUAAUUAUGGUUAUUAAGUUGGUCUAUCCUUCAGAUCAUGCUUUUAAACACGAUUUUCAAAAAUUAAAGGUCAGUUAAGUUAGUACGAAAUAUUGAAGGAGGGAGAUUACGUUUGCCUGAGGUUAAAAAGGAACAUGGGAGAUGGUGACACAAGUGAUCAAAAGAGCCAAGCUGCCCCUUAGGAUGCAAGAGGGUGCUGUGCGGCUUGGAAAUCAGAUACGUGCCCAGCAACAUGGAAUGAGAUAAAUAAACCCCAGACAUUUGAAAGAUUGGAACUGAUACGGGAUGUUCAGGUGCCACUUCAAGAAAAUGAAAUGACACUAAUAAAGGCGAGGAGAAGUCAGUGGAGGGAGUGUCAGGUAUUAGAGAAAGUGAGGAGCCAGGGUUUUGCAGGAAGGAGGGGAGGAGUGGCAGGAAGAGCGGCUCUUCCCACACAGGAGCCUCCUCCCCCUCCUCCCUCUUGCUAAAAGGUGGGUUUGUUUCAGCUGAAAUGACUGCAAGGCAAAUUUUUGUAUUAAAAAGGAGGUUAUUUUCACCAGAGAUCAAUAAAGAAGGGAGACCCCCCCUCAAAAAAGAGCUACUUUGUACCUACUUUGUACCAUAAAAUCAGAGCCCUGCUGUCAUGAAAUAAAAUCUCGUGAUAGGAUGAGUAGAAGAGUUGAUACCAUGCGGAAGGAAAGAUGGCAGCCCAUUCAGUGCCACGCUGGACGUAAUUGUACACGAGCCGUGCGUCUCCUGCUGGGAGUUGUAGCUCCUGCCCAGCAGUUCACAUUUUCAUUGCAGCUGUUUUCUGUGCAUUCUGAGGUUUCCGAAAUCCAUCACCCACCAACACUGAUCUUUAGCCCUUAGUCUAGGUGUUAUUAACCCAGAGCCCAGGGACAUUUAGGGGAUCAACGGCUGGUUUUUCAUACGGUCUGUGAACUCUCUGAAAUUAUACACAAGAUGUUGUGUGUGAGUGUCUCGUCUUUUCUGGUAAAAGGCAUCUGAAUUCUCAAAACAGUUCAUGACCGCCCCCUCCUCCUAAAAAAAGAUUAAGAACUAUUCCCUAGAAUAGAGAGUUUUUGCUACACUUAGAGAAUUCCACAUUUGACAAGGCACUCGCCCAACUGGGAUGCAGUUUCACACUUAAAAGCAGGUCAGCUUCCAGCUGGACAAAUUCAUCAGGGACAUAUUGUAGGAAUUCCAUGAGAAUCAGAAAUGUAGUGUAUUGAAUUUAUUUAGAAUAAGGAUCACUAUAUACAAGUUCUUUCAAAAGACUGAAGAUUCUGCCCUUGGCAGGAAAGACAUAUCAGAUUCACGAAGUGCGCUUGUAUUUUUAUGUCAGCCCUGAAGAAUAAUUGUGGUUUCACUAAAUGAAAUCUUUUAUAUUUCAAUUAGGAAAAGGUUGGCCGACUUUGGCUUCUAGGGGUGAAAUGUAGCCCUCGUGACAUGCCAACGCAUUGUACUUUCAAUCACUGGCAGGACUUUUGUAAUUGACAAGCAGGCAUAAGGAUAUGUCCAUAUUAUGUGUUAUGUUGAAGGAAUCACAAAUAUUCCCUUGAAAUGGAGGAGAAGAAAAUUCAAAACACAGACUUUCUUACAGAAAAUCAACUUUGAGGAAGCAGGAGGAAGAGCGGGCAAGAAUAUUUCUGGUAAAACUUGGAUGGAUGAAUAGCCAGCUAAUAUGUUGAUCAAAGACAUUAUCUUUUGGGGGAAAACAGCACAAGCCAUUUGAAAGAUAAGCAUCAUACGGCAUGAAAACAGGCAACAGAAAUCACAAUCACCUGAUUGUGACGAGGUAAUUAACAGCUGGAGUUAGCACAGAAGAAUGCUCAAAAAAAGAGUAAGAGUAGUUAGGAAGAAAAAAAACCAAAACAGCAGAUCUUUAACAUCAGAAACAAUGGAGCCAAUUAUUCAGCAAAUUGAGAAAAGAAGCCUCAUUAGACUUGAAUUAUCUGGAUAAUUACUAAAACUUCCUCCACGAAUAUGCCUCUGUCCUCUGCUCUUCUCUCUGUAAAUUCUGUAUGGAAGGCAUCAUCCAUGUAGAUAGCUUCAAAGAGAUCUUCUGUGUGUAUAAAUCCCAGCUCUGUGUCUCCGGGGCUCUGUUCCUUUAUAUCUAGCCAUAAUCUCCCAGGCGGCCUGCGCAAAUGGAAAGCAUUGUUUUCAUUCACCAAAACCAACUCUUCCUCUUCUGUAAGUGUCCCUUUCUGUCCAUUGUUCUGUCAUUCCUACCUCCUUGUGGAGUGUGAAAACUUAAAUUUCUUUUACUUUGCCUUACCUCCCAUUUCUGCAUUCAGAUAUUUUUCUCAGAUAUCCCUUCAUUCAUUCGUACAUUUCACAAGCAUUUAUGAGCUCCAGCUGUAUUCUGGAAACUGUGUUUGGUGCUGGAGACAGUCUUGUGAACAAGCGAUUUCAAUUGUGUGAUAAAUGUCAUCGCAGAGGCGAGCACAGAGUGCUGGGGGGAGGACGUGCCAGGCUCACCAAACCAGGCUGGGGAGCUUGGGAAUUGCUUCUUAGAGAAGGUGAUGUCUCAGGUUUGGAUGAUGAGUGGGGACCGGGCAAGAAAGAGGGCAAGGGGCAACAUUCGAGAGGGCCUUUUAUAGCAUGCUAAGAAGUUUGGAGGACAGGGAAGCACCAUGAAAAAGGGAAGGAGGGGCCUAAUGUGAUUUGCAACUUGAACAGCCGGCUCCAGCUGUGUUGCGAGAAUGAAACUGAAUGGGCAUGAAGCAGGUCAGGGAGAUGAGUUAGGAAACUGUUACCAAGAUCUGGGCCAGAAGGGAUGGCGGCCAAUGAAUAAGAGAUUUAGGGGGAAAUGGAAAGAAGCAGUUGUGUUCAUGAGCUAUAAGUAGGUAGAAACAACAGGAUCUGUGCCUGAUUGGGAGUGGGGGUGGGCCAGGGCGGCAUCCAGGAUGCAGGAAUGGAUGGAUAGUCGGAUGAUCCACUGACAUGGGCUUUAAACAGCUUUGAUAAACAAGACAGUAAGUUCAGCUUUGGGAUGUGUGAACUUGUUAUUUCAGGUGGAGCAGGUCUAGGUGGAUGAUGAGGCUCAAGGUAUAUAGGCUUGAGAGUGGGCGGCUGAAGCAGUGGAGAAGGGAAGAGAGUCGUG
Molecule: non-coding RNA, 6979 nt
Organism: Vicugna pacos (alpaca)
Lineage: Eukaryota; Metazoa; Chordata; Mammalia; Artiodactyla; Camelidae
Source: RefSeq, a predicted model, not a curated record